CUCCUACGGGAGGCAGCAGUCGGGAAUUUUGCGCAAUGGACGAAAGUCUGACGCAGCAACGCCGCGUGAGGGAUGAAGGCCUUCGGGUUGUAAACCUCUUUUAUCAGGGAAGAUAAUGACGGUACCUGAUGAAUAAGUCACGGCUAACUACGUGCCAGCAGCCGCGGUAAUACGUAGGUGACAAGCGUUGUCCGGAUUUACUGGGCGUAAAGAGCGCGCAGGCGGUCGUUCAAGUCGAGUGUGAAAGCCCCCGGCUCAACUGGGGAGGGUCAUUCGAUACUGAUCGACUCGAAGGCAGGAGAGGGAAGUGGAAUUCCCGGUGUAGUGGUGAAAUGCGUAGAUAUCGGGAGGAACACCAGUGGCGAAGGCGACUUCCUGGCCUGUUCUUGACGCUGAGGCGCGAAAGCUAGGGGAGCAAACGGGAUUAGAUACCCCGGUAGUCCUAGCCGUAAACGAUGGACACUAGGUGUUGGUGGUAUCAACCCCGCCAGUGCCGAAGCUAACGCAUUAAGUGUCCCGCCUGGGGAGUACGGCCGCAAGGCUAAAACUCAAAGGAAUUGACGGGGGCCCGCACAAGCAGCGGAGCGUGGGGUUUAAUUCGACGCAACGCGAAGAACCUUACCAGGGCUUGACAUGACCAGGAUCCCGGCGGAAACGUCGGUUCCCCGCAAGGGGCCUGGCCACAGGUGUUGCAUGGCUGUCGUCAGCUCGUGUCGUGAGAUGUUGGGUUAAGUCCCGCAACGAGCGCAACCCCUACUGUGUGUUGUAUCACUCACACGGGACUGCCGAGAGAAACUCGGAGGAAGGUGGGGAUGACGUCAAGUCAGCAUGGCCCUUACGUCCUGGGCUACACCCACGCUACAAUGGCCGGUACAACGGGCGGCGAAACCGCGAGGUGGAGCGAAUCCCUUAAAGCCGGUCUCAGUUCGGAUUGUAGGCUGCAACUCGCCUACAUGAAGCCGGAGUUGCUAGUAACCGCCGGUCAGCAUACGGCGGUGAAUAUGUUCCCGGGCCUUGUACACACCGCCCGUCACGUCAUGAAAGCUGGCAACACCCGAAGCCGGUGGGCCAACCGCAAGGAGGCAGCCGUCGAAGGUGGGGUUGGUGAUUGGGACGAAGUCGUAACAAGGUA
RNAcentral lists this ribosomal RNA (1132 nucleotides) under uncultured bacterium. RNAcentral's name for it is "bacterial SSU rRNA". It matches the Rfam family "Bacterial small subunit ribosomal RNA", at positions 336 to 1498 of the family's 1533-position model. The record is from RNAcentral.